UUCACUGCAUUCGUCACUAUUUUAUAAAUGCAAUUUUGUUUACAUUUUUCCGUUGCAAGUUUUCCUCUAAUCUGUUAAUUAAAAUAUCUAAAAUGAGUCAAACCGAUGGUAAAAAUUCUCCAUCAAAUUUAAGACAGAAUGUCAGUUUUAAAUUUUCAAAGAUUACUCCUAAAACAUUAACAGGAAAUCGAUUGGAUGAAGAAAAUAAAGAUUAUGUUUUGUCUGUUGAUAAAAACGAGAUUAAAAGUACUCUUCCGAAAGAUAAACCCAAAGAGUUGGUGAUUCCAUUAAUUAAAAGGAAUAACUGGAGAGGUUCAAAACCACUUGAAUCAGAUGAGAAAGAAAAGACUGAUCUUGAUAAUCUUGCUGUUCAAGAAAUAUUGAAGGAAACAUCUGAAAGAAAUGCCAAGUGGGAAAAUCGAGAAUUUUCCAAUGUUACUGUUUCUAUUCCUCUCAUUAUGCAAAACAAGAUACCUGAAGGAUUUGAGACGGAUGAUAAAUUAGAUGUGUCUUUAAGAGCUGAAGAGUCAACUCUGGAAGAUUAUGAAAAAAUUCCUGUUGAGCAUUUUGGCAUGGCUAUGAUUCGAGGAAUGGGAUGGAAAGAGGGGGAAGGUAUUGGGAAUAAUAAUAAAAUGUGUGUUCAGCCUAUUGAAGCACAACGUAGACCUAAAGGCCUUGGACUGGGAGCAGAUGCUUCUGCUGUGAAAAAGAAUCAAGAAAAGGCGAAAGAAGAAAAAUUAGAAUUGAUUAAAGGAGCUUAUGUUAAUAUUACUCAAGGUCAACACAAGGGAUUUUAUGGAGAGGUUUUAGGUUUAGAUGAAGAAAAUGCUCGUGCAAUUGUGAAAUUAACUACUGAUGAGAAAGUAACCUUGCCUGAAUUUUAUAUUAAUGUUGUCAGCAAGAAAGAAUUUGACAAAGAAAGCAGAAUCAUAAACAGAGCUGCUUAUGAAAACUUCAAAAGAGAAAAAGAAGAAAAAGAAAAAAAUGAGAAGCAAUCAUUGAAAAGGGAAAGAGAAGAAGAUCCAACAGAUCCAAAAGCAGAAAGAAAAGACAAGACUAAAACAUCCAAUGAAAGAAAUUCUAAUAAAUCUGAGAAGCGUUCUAAAAGACAUCAUAGUAGAGAAAGAAGGUUAGUAUUGAAUUGUAAUUCAGUGGUCAGUUACAUGAUAACUCAAAUUAAUGCUUUUUGUUCUCUUAUAUUACCAUUUGCUGUUUUUUAUUUAAUAGUAUUAUAUUGCUUAGUCAUAUUUCAUUGAAAGUAACUCAUUUCUAUUAUAGUAAAAUUAUUUCAUAUUCAUUACAAUAAUCUUUUUAUAAUUACUUGAGCUUUGAAGACUAUUUCUUGCUGCUUUAAUCCAUUAUGGUCCAACUUAAUUUAAAGUAUAGAUUACAAUAAAAUUAUUUUAAAUUAUGUUGAAAAUGCUAAGCUUAUAAUAAUUAAAUGCUUAUAAUAAUUAGCAUUAGUUUUAUGCUAGUAAAAUUAAAUGUUAAACUGAGGAUAGUUACGUAAUAAAACUAGAUUCUAAUGAGACAAAAUUAGUAAAUUUAUAUUAUUUAAUAUUAUAAAAUAUCAAAAAAUAAUGGUUGUUUUAUGAUUAAUUGCAUUACUUUAAAAAUAAAAUUUUAAAAAUUUCAAAGUAAUGUUAUAUGUUUGCUGAAAAUUAUUUAGAAUUGUGAGAAUACAUAAGGACUUAUUAGAUGAAGUAAAAAAGAGUCAAUGGGUUCACUUUAGCCAUAUAAAGAAAAAAAUAAAUAUCCUAUAAAUUGAAUACUAUGCAAUAUUUGUUAAAUUCCUUGCUUGCUUAUUAUCAUUAACAUUUUAGUUUCAUGUUAAAUACUUUUUACUAAAUUGUAAUGCAGCAUUUUGCUUGUCUUAUUCAACUAAUAUUCAUAGUAAACAUUUGUUUCAAAAUUUCUUAAUUUUGGUAUAGCAUUUCAUUUAUUUGUUAAAAACUUCAUUUCACCAAAAAAGGGGGGGGGGGUAAGAGACGUUAUUUUUGUUAAGGAAUUUUUUAUAUAAUAAUUUUUCUUAUAUAAAUGAUUAUAUACUUAUUCAGUAUAUCUGGUUGGUAUAUAAUCAUGUGUUUUAAAUUAUUAGCAUUUAAUUAUUUAAAAUGUUUGAUAAAAUAUAAGCCAUAGUUUCUGAAACAACUAUAUUUUACAUGCUUCUAUAAUUAUUUAUGUGUGUGUGUUAUGUUAUGUGUGUAUUUACAUCUGUUUUCUCUAUCUUUUUUUUAUUAUUAUUAUUUUGAUUAGCAAUUUUACAUGUUAGUUAAAAAAAAAAGAUUUUAUCUCAUAUUCUGAUUUAAAAAAUAUUUGCAAUUAUUGCUAUCAAAGCUGUAUAUUUUCAUUUCAUCUGAAUAUUGUAUGCUCUUUUUUGUGUUGUGGCUACUUCAGUUUUAUCCAAUAAGUUUACCAAUUUGUAUGUAGAAUACAAAGGAAAAUAAAUUUCCUAGUUUCCAUUAUAAGUUUUAGCCUUUAGUCAUCCAACUUUAUCCUAAGUUCAUCAAUAAAUGUACAUCCAUACUAUUCUCAUAAGGUAAAGUUGCCUUUAAAUGCUAAAAUCACUUUAGAGUUAUGGAGAAAAUGAAUUUAAAAAUUGACCAUUCCUCACCUUGUAUUAACUUCCUAGUUCAAGGAAGAAGAAGUGCAAAUGCAAUUAUUUCAGAUACUAUUUUCUAAUAUCUGCUGAAAUUCUUGAUUGCCAAGGAAGUCAUCUCGUAUAUGAGAAUGGGAGGCCAGGAUAUGUGCUUGGUAUCCCAAAUAUUGAUGGUGCUGGAAAAGAGACAUGAUUAACAGGUACCUGUGCUGACUGGAAUGACAGUUUGGCUGUACCAAAAUGGGUCAUUUGUCUGUGAGCUUAAUAUUCGAUUCUGUUGCUUUUGACCAAUCUUCAUUCAAAUGUUUUCUUCUGACUUUAAUUCAUGUUUCAGGCUGGUUUUACUUAUGAUUAUUUUUUUUUAUUGUAUUGCAGCAUGAAACUCUUACAUGAAGGGUAUAUUAUUCUUUAGUUAAAUAUUUUAAUGUGGAUUUUUUAAAAUUAUAAUUUGAAAGGAAUGCAUACUUAAUAUUAUUUUUUUGUUCUUCUAUUUACUUUUAGUGAAGAAAACCACAGUUAUAGCUCAAAAUCUUCCAAACUGUGGGUGAGACCUCAGUUGAGGGUUCGAUUCAUUGAUGAUAAAUAUAAGAAAGGACGAUAUUUUAAUCAAAAGAUGACAGUUGUUGAUGUAAUGUCUUCAAAAUCGUGUUC
Molecule: RNA transcript, 3250 nt
Organism: Argiope bruennichi
Lineage: Eukaryota; Metazoa; Arthropoda; Arachnida; Araneae; Araneidae
Gene name: G-patch domain and KOW motifs-containing protein-like
Exons: 8
Source: RefSeq, a predicted model, not a curated record